This is an RNA transcript of Malaclemys terrapin pileata, 9400 nucleotides long. It is a transcript of the gene named BLCAP apoptosis inducing factor, with no coding region annotated. The transcript has 2 exons. Lineage: Eukaryota; Metazoa; Chordata; Testudines; Emydidae. The record is from RefSeq and is a predicted model, not a curated record.
UUACCGUGGAAAAAUUAAAAUGCAUUUGCUCUUCUUUCCAUGCUUUCAUUCUCUUCUACGUAUCUCAGUUUUCUCUCUCUCCUUUCAGAGUCUGGCACUUCAUGCUAUCUGCCUAUCUUAAGAACAUCAGAAUGGCCAUAGUGGGUCAGACCAAUGAUCCAUCUAUCUCCGUGUUCUGUGUUUUGAUGGUGGCCAGUGCCAGAUGCUUCAGAGGGAAUGAACAGAACAGGGCAAUUUUCAAGUGAUCCAGUCCCAGCUUCUGGCACUUGGGGGUUUAGGGACCCCUGCAGCAUGGGGUUGUGUCCCUGACCACCUUGGCUAAUCAAGGUUGAUGGACCUAUUCUCCAUGAAUUUCUCUAAUUCUUUUUUGAACCCAGUUAUGCUUUUGGGCUUCACAACACCCCAUGGCAUUGAGUUCCAUAUGUUGACGUUGUUGUGUGAAAAAGUACUUCAUGUUUGUUUUAAACCUGUUGCCUAUUUGUUUUGUCAGGUGACCCCUAGUUCUUAUGUUAUGUGAAGGGGUAAAUAAUACUUCCCUAUUCACUUUCUUCACACCAUUCAUGAUUUUAUAGACUUCUAUCAUAUCCCCCCCCCCCGUCAUCUUUUUUCUAAGAUGUACAGUCCCAGUCUUUUUAAUCUCUCCUUUUAUAAAAGCUGUUCCAUACCCCUAAUAAUUUUUGUUGCCUUUCUCUGCACCUUUCCCACUUCUAAUAUAUCUUUUUUUGAAAUGGGGUGUCUAGAACUGCAGGCAGUAUUCAAGAUUGGGCGUACCAUGAGUUAACAUAGUAACGACAUUAUAUUUUCUGUCUUCUUAUCUGUCCCUUUGCUAAUGGUUCCUAACAUUCUGUUAGCUUGUUUGACUGCCACUGUGCAUUGAGUGGGCAUUUUCAGAGAACUAUGCCUGAUGGCUCUAAGAUCUUUCUUGAGUGGUAACAGCUAAUUUAGAUCCCAUUAUUUUGUAUGUAUAGUUGGGAUUAUUUUAUCCAAUGUGCGUUUCUUUGUAUUUAUUAACAUUGAAUUUCAUCAGCCAUUUUGUCACAAAGGGAUCUCAAAAAACUGGGUAACUCUUUGCAGUCAGGUUUGGACUUAACUGUCUUGAGAAUUUUGUAUCAUUUGCAUAUAUCGCCACCUCACUGUUCGUCCCCUGUUCCAGAUCAUUUAUGAAUAUGUUGAACAACACAGGGCCCAGUACAGAUCUUUGGGGGACCUUGCUAUUUACCCAUCUCCACUUGUGAAAACUGACAACUUAGUACUAUCCUUUUUUUCAACCAGUUAGUGAUCCAUGAAAGAACCUUCCCUCUUAUACCAUGGCAGCUUAGGGCAUGGCUACACUUGCAGAUGUAGAGCGCUGUGAAUUAAACCCGCCUUCGGAGAGUGCAGUAGGGAAAGUGCUGCAGUCUGUCCACACUGACAGCUGCUUGUGCACUGGCAUGGCCACAUUUGCGGCACUUGCAGCGGCAUUGGGAGCGGUGCAUUAUGGGCAGCUAUCCUAGCAUUCAAGUGACUACCAAUGUGAUAUAUUCCAUCAUGUGCCAGCAAUGCCUCCUCUGUCAUGUACAUUGGCCAUACCGGACAAUCUCUACGCAAAAGAAUAAAUGGACACAAAUCUGACAUCAAGAAUCAUAACAUUCAAAAACCAGUAGGAGAACACUUCAGCCUCUCUGGUCACUCAGUAACAGACUUAAAGGUGGCAAUUUUGCAACAGAAAAGCUUCAAAAACAGACUCCAACAAGAAACUGCUGAACUAGAAUUAAUUUUCAAACUAGAUGCCAUUAACUUGGGCUUGAAUAGAGACUGGGAGUGGCUGGGUCAUUACACAAAUUGAGUCUAUUUCCCCAUGUUAAGUAUCCUCACACCUUCUUGUCAACUGUCUGGAAUGGUUUUAGAGUAGCAGCCGUGUUAGUCUGUAUCCGCAAAAAGAACAGGAGUACUUGUGGCACCUUAGAGACUAACAAAUAAAGUUUUUUUUCUCUUGCUGAUAAUAACUCAUCUUAAUUAGCCUCUUAGAGUUGGUAUGGCAACUUUCACCUUUUCAUGUUCUCUGUAUGUAUCUAUAUCUUCUUACUAUACGUUCCAUUCUAUGCAUCUGAUGAAGUGGGCUGUAGCCCAUGAAAGCUUAUGCUCAAAUAAAUUUGUUAGUCUCUAAGGUGCCACAAAUACUCCUGUUCUUUCAGUGUAGUAGGGCACUUCCAUCGCCCGGAAUAAGGCUGUAGUGUAGACACUUGACAGAAUUUGCUCUAGACACCUGGUGCCUCUAAAUUCCAGGGAGACGUUUGUGUUUCUAAAAAGCUGAAUAGUUGACCAUCUUCUUGCUGGUACAUAAGUGAUCUCUUGUUGUAAAGCCUUUUAGCUGCCAAACUGGGUGGCAGCUUGACUAGCAUGCUGGGAGGGAACGAUUCAUAAAUCACCUAAGUUUUACCUUCCCUCUGGACCAACACCUGCUUAACAGCAACCCUAAUGAGGGCUGAAUAAGAUUACCACUGAGCACUUCCUUGGGUGUUUAGUGGGGAUAAUCAGAGCUGACUUUCACUAGUCAGGGGUAAGUAGAGCCCUAAGGUAAUUGGGAGUGGCACACACUCUCUGCAGAAGAGGGGGGAUAUAAAAUGGGUAUCCAUGGACUAAUAUAUAGGGACUAUAGCUUACAACCUUACAACUAAAGUUAUGAUGAAUUAAGCCUUUUCUACUUGUAGAUUAUCCAGGAACCAAUCACAAGCUCCUCAAAUGUAUUUAUUCUCGUAGCUUUUUGAAUACUUCAUUGCAAAUACUUAAAAUUAGAGCAGUGCUGGUUAUUUGUGACUGGUUAGAUAAUUCAUAAUGUUGUUUUUGUUCCCUGACUCCCUGAAUGUGCAAGUACUUAUGCAUGUGAAUCUUAAAAUUGUUCCUGUUAGACCUUGGUGGUUUGAAUAACUGAAUCAUAGGGUAGGUCUACACUUACCUCCGGGUGCGGCAGUAGGCAAUCGAUCUUCUGGGCUCAAUUUAUCGCGUCCUGUCUAGACGCGAUAAAUCGAUCCUGGAUUGAUCCCGGAAGCGCUCGCCAUCGACGCCGGUACUCCAGCUCGGCGAGAGGAGCACGCGGCAUCAACGGGGGAGCCUGCCUGCCGCAUCUGGACCCGCGGUAAGUUCGAACUAAGGAACUUCGAAUUCAGCUACGUUAUUAACGUAGCUGAAUUUGCGUACCCUAGUUCGAAGUGGGGGGUUAGUGUGGACCAGGCCAUAGAAAUGCAGAGUUGGAAGGCACCUCAAGAAGUCAAGUCCAUCUCCCUGCACUGAGGCAGGACCAAGUAAACCUAGACCAGGGAUAGGCAACCGAUGGCACGCGUGCCAAAGGCAGCACAUGAGCUGAUUUUCAGUGGUACUCACAGUGCCCGGGUCCUGGCCACCGGUCCGGGGGGCUCUGCAUUUUAAUUUAAUUUUAAAUGAAGCUUCUUAAACGUUUUAAAAACCUUAUUUACUUUACAUACAACAAUAGUUUAGUUAUAUAUUAUAAACCUAUUGAAAGAGACCUUCUAAAAACGUUAAAAUGUAUUACUGGCACGCGAAACCUUAAAUUAGAGUGAAUAAAUGAAGACUCGGCACACCACUUCUGAAAGGUUGCCGACCCCUGACCUAGACCAACCCUGAUAGGUGUUUGUAUAAUGUGUGCAGCCCUCCUCACUGUCUGCUAUCUCUGACAGGAGCAUGGAGCAUGCACAAUUCUGCGCUAUUGUAAGUAUUGCAAGCACAGGACACGUGAUCCUCUGGUAUUUGCAGAGCUGUAAGAAUAAUCAAAUCAGCGGGGAACAUGACAGUUUCUUGGAGGAUAGGCUGCUGUGGGAUAUAGCGAGAACCAAUUCAAAGUUGUUGGUGCCAUUUACAGAGCAGCUGAAGAUGGUGGAGUGCCACUUCUGGGUCUGAGAAGCAAGCACUGACUGGUGGGAUCCCAUCGUAAUGCAGGCUUGGGAUGAGGAGCUGUGGCUGCAGAACUUUCGGAUGUGCAAGGCCACAUUCCUGGAUCUGUAUGCCACACUCGCCCCAGCUCUCCAGCAUAGGACACUGAAGUGAGAGCUGCACUGACAGAGAAGAAGCACUAUGCAGAUUUCACAGGCGAGACCAGUAUUUCUCAAAUUGGGGGUUCUGACCCAAAAGGGAGUUGUGGGGGGGGGGGUCCACAAGGUUAUUUUAGGGGGAUCUGCAACUCCUUUUUGGGUCAGGACCCCUGCAAUUACAACGCCUUGAAAUUUCAGAUUCAAAUAGCUGAAAUCAUGAAAUUUACGGGUUUUUAAAAUCCUAUGACCAUGACAUUGACCAAAAUGGACCGUGAAUUUGGUAGGGCCUAGUUAUAGCUGUCUAGUGUGCUGGAUAAUAUGUGUGAAGCAAAGGGGGAAAAGUUGCGUCUGGGGCAAAGGGUAGAGGUGGAGUAUCUGUCUGCAGUGCUUGAGCAGCCAGAUAGAAGGAGCUUAUAGGGCUCAGGGAGGCUUUGAAAGAGCAUUUAAACAGCAACCCACAAUAAUGUGUUGUGGUGUACUGUGCUCUACCUGACCCUGCUGUUUUGGGGUCUGUUAAGAAUUGUGUGACACUUGGUGUACAUCUAUGAAUAUACCACUGUCAGUGCACCUAUGAAUUUUGCAGUGCUUGCUGUAUAUUUGAUAUUAUACUGUUUGCCACUGAUCUUAUGAGUUGUUACACUAUACAGUAACAAGUGGGUGAUUUCAAAACUGGUUGGCACUCUGCAGCAUAUGUUUGUGAACUAAUAAAGAUGAAUUAUUUUCCAAGAAUUUUAUUCAGUAAUAGAAUCAGUACAAAGAAAAGUCUGUGCAAUUUAAAAGCAAAUACAUUAAAAACUUAAGUUCUGUUCCAUUGAUUUAUUAACAAGGGGAAGAACAUUCAUGUCCAUUUUACAUCCAUGUACAGCAACUGUGGCAUUCACAGAUCAGUGUUUGUGAAGCUGUGGUUGUCCUUUAAUGAUGGAGUGUUAGGGGUAGGGAUGCGGCCCCUGAAAACACAUGGUAUGUAGGGGUGGGUGUGAGUGCGCAUGCUGUAAUGAAGUUCUCCGUGGUCUGCAAAGGGGGUGAGCCCAGGAUUGUUGAAUCUGUAAGGUCCAUAAGAGUCUGCAGCAUCUGUUUGCUGCCAGUGAAGCCCCGUUAUGUUCUAGUCCCUCUGGGGCACCUGGCAUUGGCCACUGUCGGUAGACAGGAUACUGGGCUAGAUGGACCUUGGUCUGACCCAGUAGGGUCGUUCUUAUGUUUAUGUUCUUAUGAUCACCAUCCUUUUAUAACAACCCUUAAUGUAUUUGAAGAUUAUCAGGUGCUCUCUCAGCUUUCUUUUCUCAAGACUAAACAUGCCCAGUUUUUUUAACCUUUUCUUAUAGGUCAGGUUUUCUGGACCUUUCAUCAUUUUUGUUGCUCUCCUCUGGACUCACCCAAUUUGUCCACUUUCCUAAAGUGUGGUGCCCAUAAUUGGACACAGUACUCAGCUGAGGCCUCACCAGUGCUGAGACAAGAGAAACAAUUACUUCCUGUUUUUUCCACGCAUCACUCCUGUUAGUGGACCCCAGAAUAUUAGCUUUUUUCUCAGCUGCAUCACGUUCAUAUUCAGUUUGUGAUCUACUAUAACCCCCAGAUUCUUUUCAGCAGUACACUUAGCCUGUUGUUCCUAUUUUGUAGUUGUGCAUUUGAUGUUUUUUCUUCUUAAGUGUAGGACUGUGCACUUGUCAUUAUUGAAUUUAAUCUUGUUGAUUUCAGACCAAUUUUCCAAUUUAUAAAGGCCAUUCUUCAAAAUGCUUGCAACUCCUCCCAUCUUGGUGUCAUCUGCAAAUUUGAUAAGUGUACUCUCCACUCAAUCAUCCAUGUCAUUAAUGAAAGUACUGAGUGAUACUGGACCUGGGACAUACCCCGUGGGUCCCCACUAGAUACAUCCCUCAAAUUUGACAGAGAACCAUUGAUAGUACUCUUUGAGUACUUAUAGUUAUUUCAUCUAGACCACAUUUCCCCUGUUUGCUUAUGAGACUGUCAUGUGUGACUGUCAAAACCCUUACAAAAAUCAAGAUAUAUCACAUCUACUUCUUCUCCCAAUCCACCAGGCCAGUAACCUUGUCAAAGAAGGCAAUUAGAUUAAUUUGGGAAUAAUUUGUCCUUUACAAAUCCAUGCUGGCUAUUCCCAUAACCCUAUAAUCCUCUUGGUGCUUAAGUGUUGUUCAUGGGAGCAAGUGGAAAGGAUGUGAGCAUGACUGGUGUGGAUUCACUAAUGAGCAUAAGUGACUGUCUGUGGAAAACCAUUUGUAUUUGCUUAGCUCUGAUGUGGUGGGUCGCUCAGACCCUGAGGCUAGGUCUACACUACCCGCCUGAAUCGGAGGGUAGAAAUCGACCUCUCGGGGAUCGAUUUAUCCCGUCCCGUCGGGACGCGACAAUCGAUCCCCAAAUCGGCGCUCUUACUCCACCAGCGGAGGUGGGAGUAAGCGCCGCCGACAGAAAGCCGCAGAAGUCGAUUUUGCCGCCGUCCUCACAGCGGGGUAAGUCGACUGCGAUACGUCGAAUUCAGCUACGCUAUUCACGUAGCUGAAUUUGCGUAUCUUAAAUCGACUCCCCCCUGUAGUGUAGAUGUACCCUGAGGGUAUUGCAGGAACUCUAGAGUAGGAGACUCCAGUGUGUUGCCUGGAGAUCAUAGAAAGGAACAGUGAAUUAUUGAGUGCAGUGAGAAUGUCAGGCAGCUUUUUGUACGCUCUCUGACUCAAGGGUCUAAAGUUAAACUUAGCGGUGCUAACAGCUGUGAUGGAUUCAGAGGAGUCACUGUUCCUGGAAUGACUAACAAAAGUGGCUGACAAACCAGAUGAGAGUGAGUAUAAGGACUGCAAUCUGUAAAGAUGACAGUGCACCAUCUUAGCCAAGGAAUCAAUGAAAGAUGAGUUCAGAGGUGAAUGAGAUCAGUAGGUUUGGAAGAAGCAGAAUGCCAUUGUGAGACAGGGAAGCACAGACAAUGAAAUGCUGCUGUAUGGCAGUUGUUAACUUGCUGUUAUUACCUGGUAAUCUACUCCUCUUGGUCAAGAGCAGAUAACUGUAGUUUCCUUGAGGGAAAAAGAGAAAAUCAGGUGGGGAUUUGGCGUGCUUGCUGUGUCCCUGCCUCAGACUUGCUCAGGAGUCUAGGCAGAAUUGAAUACUUUUAAAAUACUCUUGUAACUUGCAUAAAAAAUUGUGUGUCAAAGACCACAAACCAAAUAAAUAUUUCACCAUUUAGUAAAAGAAAGGUGAUAUGGCUAAGAUGACUGGAAUCCCCAUGGGACACUCUCAUAGCCGUGUUGGACUUGGGUGGGUGGCGAAAAAGAGGUGGAAAAGAGUACUUGUUACUAUUAACAGCUGAUCCACCAGCCAGGGAAGGUAGAAUCCAUGCUCCAGACAAAUGCAUAGUUCUAGUUCCUUUACUCAGGGCUCUUAUGUUUUGAAUCUUGGUGUCUCAAUAAAGCAACCUAAUAUAGUCUCAGUACCCUUCAGGGUCAUAUGUUAGCAUUUGUCUCUAGGACUUCACAGCCCUACCCUGCUGAGGUUUCUCUCCAGCCAGCUCCUGCUCCCUGUAGGUGUCGUCUUGUCAUGCUUUCAACCUGAGGGGUACAGAGACCUCCCCCUUCCUCUGCCUGCUCCUCUGCCUAAGAGAGAGAAACUUUGUGAUUGCCUUUAGGCACAUCACUAGGAGCAAAUAUGUGACCUACAACUACAUCUCUCAGCCUUAAAGGGCUCAACGGCUGUACCAUGUGCUUCAGUACACUGCAGUCCAUUGGUGGAAAUAGUGAUUUUUGUGUAUACUUUAUAUAAUGGUUAAGCUUGUAAAGUGCUUUGGGGGGAACAUGGGGACAAAAGUUGCUAUAUAAAUAACAAUAAGAUUCAUGUUGUGCAUAUGAUAUGGAGCAGUUUAGAAGGAUUCAAGGAGAGCUGCAGAGCACUGACUUGCCACAAUUGUUUUCCUGCCUGCUGUCAUACCAUAUGUUUGAAUAGAUAGGAACAAAAAGCGAGUGUCCGAGUAGGGAGAAGAGCAGUGACAUAGCUGCUCAACUCCCAUGAGAGCUGUGCUGCUAGCUCACGUCUGUGAACACUUACCCUGGGGAGGAACUAACUAGUACUUAGCUUCUAUAAUGAUGUUCAUCUGAGGAUCUCAACAUGCUUUACAAAGGUUAAUAGCCCUUCUGCACCUCUGUGAUAUAGGGAAGUAUGAUCUUAUUAACUAACUAUAGCCCAAGGGGACACAGACUGAAGCAGGAAUAAAAACUUGGGAGUCCGAUUCCAGUUUCUUGGCUCUAACCACUAGAAAAUACUGACCUGUAAAACAAACAACUUAGUAAUUGUGAGGCCUGAAAAUAAGCUCAUUAGUUUUACCGAUAAAAUAACCCCACCUCCCCACUCUCUGCUGGACGGUACUUUCUCUCCUCUCCACCACAGCUUCCCAGGACCAGUGCACCCCAUGCUUUCUCCAGGAAUACUCUAAAACGCUGGUGAUGUGCUGUCUGCCGGGAUGGAGAUGCUGGGCAGCCUCCUCUUUCAUCACUAUUAAAAUACAUACCCUUGCUGGUGGCGUGGGGAGAAUGUUGCCUAUGAGGCCGGAAUGUGUUCCCAGCUCUUGCUGGAGGAGCAGGUACUCAAAUAUGCCUGGGAACUUCUUAAUCUUUAUUAUGACUUCACUCUCUUUUGGCAGGAAACCAUUUUCUUUGUGGCCGUGUUUUGGCUUUUUCAUGCAGCCCCUUCUUCCCUCCUCAUCCCUGCUCCCCUAGCCAGGAAAUCCCAUCUUUCUCUUCUAGUUUUAGCCAAGGGAAUAUGUUGUUUAUCUUCUCAGCUUCUUUGUCCCACGGGCCCCCCUGCAACUACAGUUUCUAUUCCUGCCUGGCUCAGCUCAGCCCUUCUGCCCUCUGACACAGAGAGAACCAUGCAGCUUAGUGUUUGAAGGAAGAAGGGUCUUUAGGACAAGCCGUUAUAAACCAAGAAUGUGUUUGCUCUGCAUGGUCACUAGAACCCCUGGCACUUCUCUAAGAGGAGGGGCUUGCCCUGUUGUCCUUGGGCACAAGUUUCACUUGCCCUUUUGUGCCUUGGCUGCCUGCCAUCCCCUUCAGCUGUGCUGUAUAAAUGUAGUUAUGAAGCACUGUGGGAUGAAAGGUGCUGUAUAAAUGUAAACUGUUCUCAUUAGCCCUUGUUGAAAGAUCUGCUGCCUGUGCCUUGGUUUUUCCUUUUACCACCACCACAGUUUGUGUAUUGUUUCAGCAAGGUACUGACAAGGAGUCAGAACCAGGACUAAUACCCUAAUCCUACCAUUGACUUGCUGUGUGAUCUUGGCUUUAUCUUCACGUUACAGAACAGUGUUGGGAAUCCUGCUCACCUGAGGAGCUGCAGGAAAAAGUUCUAGGAGUGCUUCUGAUUGCUGCUGUCCCUGGGUCCCUGCCUGCCAG